RNAcentral lists this transfer RNA (77 nucleotides) under Shewanella putrefaciens. RNAcentral describes it as "tRNA-Ile". The record is from RNAcentral. Lineage: Bacteria; Pseudomonadati; Pseudomonadota; Gammaproteobacteria; Alteromonadales; Shewanellaceae.
UCCUUAAGUUCUUUAUAAGCCAGCAGAACUUCGUCUUUACUUGGGUUAGCCACCAAAUGAAUCACCGCAAUUUGCGC